GAACGUGGCGGGUGCUUACACAUGCAGUCGAAGAGAACGGUUUAGCUGCUAAUACUGUCAGCUAAGUGGCGCACGGGUGAGUAAUAUAUAGGUAAUGUGCCUUGAAGAAGGGGAUAACAGUUGGAAACGACUGCUAAUAGCCUAUAUGCCUUUAAUACAUAAGUAUGCAAGGGAAAUAUUUAUAGCUUCAAGAUCGGCCUGUACAGUAUCAGUUAGUUGGUGAGGUAAUGGCUCACCAAGACAAUGACGCUUAACUGGUUUGAGAGGAUGAUCAGUCACACUGGAACUGAGACACGGUCCAGACUCCUACGGGAGGCAGCAGUGGGGAAUAUUGCACAAUGGGGGAAACCCUGAUGCAGCAACGCCGCGUGGAGGAUGACACAUUUCGGUGCGUAAACUCCUUUUAUAUAGGAAGAUAAUGACGGUACUAUAUGAAUAAGCGCCGGCUAACUCCGUGCCAGCAGCCGCGGUAAUACGGAGGGCGCAAGCGUUACUCGGAAUCACUGGGCGUAAAGAGCGUGUAGGCGGAUAAAUAAGUUUGAAGUGAAAUCCUAUAGCUCAACUUAUAGAACUGCUUUGAAAACUGUUUGUCUAGAAUAUGGGAGAGGUACGAUGGAAUUCUGGGGUCGGGGUAAAACCGCGACAACCGAACGAAUCCCGAUUGGAACGGCGAACUAUGGGAACAUAUUGAGCGCGAAAACGCAAAACGUGGGGAGAACCGGAUUAUA
RNAcentral lists this ribosomal RNA (728 nucleotides) under uncultured Arcobacter sp. Its description in RNAcentral is "bacterial SSU rRNA". It matches the Rfam family "Bacterial small subunit ribosomal RNA", at positions 31 to 782 of the family's 1533-position model. Lineage: Bacteria; Pseudomonadati; Campylobacterota; Epsilonproteobacteria; Campylobacterales; Arcobacteraceae. The record is from RNAcentral.